RNAcentral lists this ribosomal RNA (490 nucleotides) under uncultured bacterium. RNAcentral describes it as "partial 16S ribosomal RNA". It matches the Rfam family "Bacterial small subunit ribosomal RNA", at positions 28 to 507 of the family's 1533-position model. The record is from RNAcentral.
GAUGAACGCUAGCUACAGGCUUAACACAUGCAAGUCGCGGGGCAGCAUGGGGGUUGCUUGCAAUCCCCGAUGGCGACCGGCGCACGGGUGAGUAACGCGUAUUCAACCUGCCCUUCACCACGGGAUAACCCGGCGAAAGUCGGACUAAUACCGUAUGUUGUCCAUUGACGGCAUCCGAUUUGGACGAAAGGCUUGGCGGUGAGGGAUGGGGAUGCGUCCGAUUAGCCAGACGGCGGGGUAACGGCCCACCGUGGCUACGAUCGGUAGGGGUUCUGAGAGGAAGGUCCCCCACACUGGAACUGAGACACGGUCCAGACUCCUACGGGAGGCAGCAGUGAGGAAUAUUGGGCAACGGGCGUAAGCCUGAACCAGCCAAGUAGCGUGCAGGAUGACGGCCCUAUGGGUUGUAAACUGCUUUUAUGCGGGGAUAAAGUGGCCCACGUGUGGGCUUUUGCAGGUACCGCAUGAAUAAGAACCGGCUAAUUCCGUG